GAGCUGUUCGGGUGACACUGACGCUCUGUCCCCCUCUUGGCUUGCAGAGGGGCGUUCUCGGUCGUGAGGCGAUGUAUGAAAAUCACCACAGGACAGGAGUAUGCUGCCAAAAUCAUCAACACCAAAAAGCUCUCGGCCAGGGAUCACCAGAAACUGGAAAGAGAAGCUAGAAUCUGUCGUCUCUUGAAGCAUCCUAAUAUCGUGCGGCUUCAUGACAGCAUAUCAGAAGAGGGAUUCCAUUACUUAGUCUUUGACUUAGUCACUGGAGGUGAAUUGUUUGAAGAUAUAGUUGCAAGAGAGUAUUACAGUGAAGCAGAUGCCAGUCAUUGUAUACAGCAGAUUCUAGAAAGUGUUAAUCAUUGUCAUCUAAAUGGCAUAGUUCACAGAGACCUGAAGCCUGAAAACUUACUUUUAGCUAGCAAAUCCAAGGGAGCAGCAGUAAAACUGGCAGACUUUGGAUUGGCUAUAGAAGUCCAAGGGGAACAACAGGCUUGGUUUGGCUUUGCUGGCACUCCAGGAUACCUUUCUCCAGAAGUCUUACGGAAAGAUCCAUAUGGAAAACCUGUGGAUAUGUGGGCAUGUGGUGUCAUUCUGUAUAUCCUCCUGGUGGGUUAUCCUCCUUUCUGGGAUGAAGACCAGCACAGACUUUACCAGCAGAUAAAGGCUGGUGCUUAUGAUUUUCCCUCUCCAGAGUGGGAUACAGUGACUCCUGAGGCAAAAGACCUUAUCAAUAAAAUGCUUACCAUCAACCCUGCAAAACGUAUCACAGCUUCAGAAGCACUAAAGCAUCCAUGGAUCUGUCAACGUUCCACUGUUGCCUCUAUGAUGCACAGACAGGAGACUGUAGAUUGCUUGAAGAAAUUCAAUGCAAGAAGAAAACUAAAGGGGGCCAUUUUGACAACUAUGCUGGCUACCAGGAAUUUCUCAGCAGCCAAGAGUUUACUGAAAAAGCCAGAUGGAGUUAAGAAAAGGAAGUCCAGUUCGAGUGUUCAAAUGAUGAUAAACAACAAAACGAACGUGGUAACCAGCCCCAAGGAAAAUAUUCCUACCCCUGCGCUGGAGCCCCAAACUACAGUUAUCCACAACCCUGAUGGAAAUAAGGAAUCCACAGAGAGUUCCAAUACAACCAUUGAAGAUGAAGAUGUGAAAGCUCGUAAGCAGGAGAUUAUCAAGGUUACUGAGCAGUUGAUUGAAGCUAUCAACAAUGGGGACUUUGAAGCUUACACAAAAAUCUGUGAUCCAGGCCUUACAUCCUUUGAACCUGAAGCUUUGGGUAAUCUAGUAGAAGGGAUGGACUUUCAUCGGUUUUACUUUGAAAAUGCUUUAUCCAAAAGUAAUAAGCCAAUCCACACCAUUAUCCUCAAUCCUCAUGUCCACCUUGUGGGUGAUGAUGCUGCUUGCAUUGCAUAUAUACGGCUCACGCAGUACAUGGAUGGAAGUGGGAUGCCAAAGACAAUGCAGUCAGAGGAAACACGGGUCUGGCACCGUCGUGACGGGAAAUGGCAGAAUGUUCACUUUCACCGUUCAGGGUCACCAACAGUACCUAUCAACUGUGAUGCCCACUGAUACAGUUCAGUCCAUGAGUUGAGAGUUGGAGAGAAAAAUGAUGUAAUAUAGAUAAGGGUUGAUACAAGUCACAAAAAUGGGAUUGGAAAACUUGAAAUACGAUUCCAGGAAAAUGUGGAGAGGAAAAAAAAAAAAGUGAUAGGAUACAUGGAGCUGUUAGAGCUGACUGGAAAAUGUGAAGGAAAAAAACCCUGAAAUUUGAGUAGUAUUUUCUGUAAUUUCCAGCCACCUCUAUCCACUCAGGCCUACAUACAUUCUUUACAACUCCAUUUUGAGUCAGUUUAUGUAUUUCCUUUGUAACGUCAUACAAAUACCUAUCAUGUUCUUACCUUUUUCCCCAUGCUCCUUUUGCUUAAUUGCUGAGUGGUCACUGUCUAAUAGUUACUCCACCUCCAUGAGUAAACCUCUACUCUCUUUUGUCAUCAUUUUUCUGUGUCAGUUCUUCGUUGUUUUUUUUUUUCCAAAUGCCCUCUAACUCUAAUGCCCUCAGUCAUGCAGUGACUCAGUGUGCACAAACCUGAAUUCCUUGAGCCAGAUAUUUAGCACACUCACAGUUCUUUUAAUAAGUUAAAGAGUCAUGGCUCCUUCAAGUGGUUCUUCUCAAGUCCUUUUCUUUUCUUCUGCUUUUAGCCUUUACUAACUCUACUGUGUCUCUUGAAGCCCAGGUGGGCCAGUUUCAUUAAGAAGACACUUAAAUUAGACCAUUUUUCAAUUAAGCAACACUGGCAUAGGCUUUAACUUGCUCAGAUGCAAGUCUUCUGUGUAAGAUAUAAUUACUUUUGUAUGAAGUGUCUUAAUGUGGAUAAUUGCUGAAUUUGCCAGUGUGAAUGAUGAAAGCUUAGAUUUCAUCUUUCAAACUUCAUCAUGUCCCAUAACUUACCUGCAGAAUCAUUCCCAUACAAAAUAAUGCUAUUAGGGAAGAUUAUUAGGGAACAUAGAAACAUUGAAUAUCCUGAGUCAAAAGGAACCAACAAAGAUAAAGUCCAACUCCUGGUUCCACACAGAACUGCCUAAAUGCAAUAGAACAAAGUGUUAAAUUUCAGUGAGGAGGAUAGGUACAGAGAUGUAUAUAUUUAGGAAAUAUACAUAUAUAUUUAGAAAAAGAGUGAUUUUGUUACCUACUGAUAACUGUUGUGUUUUGUUUUGUUUUUUAAAGGGAAACCAAUGAGAGAACCAUGUUGUCCUAUUUUUCACAUCACAGCUGCAUUGCCAGUGUUAAAACAGAUAAUAUUGAAAGAAUAAUUGCAUUUUCUUGAAAUGCAGUUAUUUUUUGAUGUUUUCAUAAAGGUGCUUUUUUUCAGGGGAUCUGACCUGGAUAUGUGUAGAGCCAGAAAACAUAAGUGAGACAGGUUCAACUGUCCCAGAGCAUCCUGGACAGUGUCUGUUGCAGACUCCUGUAUAGAAUUGGAGUAGGGAAUUAUUUCAUCUUUUUUGUUGUUGUUGUUCUGUUUUUGAGAUGGUUGGGGAGUAGGAAGAAAGCAUCUUUUUCUUUUUUUUAAAAAAAGAAAAGCUUUCCUGACCUAAGCAUAAAUAACAAGGUAAUUUAUGGCACUUAUUCUUAGACAUUAAAACCAGAAGGCAACAAAAUAACCAUCCUGUUACUAUUUUUAUGGAAGAUUAUAGAAUUUAUCCAGCAAUUCAUGUGAAAAUAGUUCCAGUAAUGAUUUACAGAGAUAUACUACAUAGAUUCUACAGCUUCUUCUGUUUGAGAUAUAAUGCUGUAACAGGAGCCUCAGUACUAGUUCACGCAGCACGUGCGAUCACAGAAGAUGGGCUGCUGCGUCCUGUGACAUUUACUGUUCCUGCAAACACUCAUCAGUGCUAAUUUCUCUGGAAUAUAAUGAGCAUGCAGAGUGUCUGCCUGCCUCAGAGUCUGCAGAAUGCAGAUCUCAGGGGAAUACAGUUGCACAUACAGACCUGAGAUGUUCCUCACAGAAGCUGUGACAGUAUUUCGGACUCAUGUACUGUCAGUUCUUUAUGUCUGCUCAUACUGUCCAAGAAGAGUAAGAAAAGUAAGGAUUAUGGGACUAAGAAGAAGCGAGACCCUUUUUUUUUUUUUUGGUGAGUCCAGAUUGUGUAAGAUAGCCAUUUAUUUAUCCUCAACUGUCAUUUCCAACCAGCAACUAUAAGGAAAUUUGCUGAGUAUGAGCAGCUUUGUGCUUCCUAUUACUAUAUAUACUAUUUCUGAAUUACCCACUCUUCAAGGUCAUUUGGACUUCUCAUACAAUACUCCUGUUUUCUUCUCUAUUUAUAAUGCCAUUCACCUUUGUGUAAAUGUGUUUGUGCUCAGGUCAUUGACUGAGACUCCUCUAGGUAGAUAUUUCCCCUUCCAGCCCAAGUACUGUCAUUUUUCUUUCAGUUAUUUUCAUUUGUAUUUUUCCACUAAACUAUGUCUUUUCAAAUUUUUGUAACAGAUUCCCACAUAGCACUGUGUCAGAACUCACCUUCUAUAAACCAUCCUGGCUGUGUUUACGAUCAUCUUUGACUUUAUAUUUACUUUUCCAGUCAGACCAGCAAUUCCAUUUUUUGUAAAUUUUUUAAGAAAUUCAAAUUGAAUUCAUUCCAGAUCAUCCAUGUUUUCUUUUCUUGUAUUUGAAAUUUACAGUCUGUGACAGUUUAUUUAUUACCAACAAUUAUAUAAAUACAUAAAUAGCAGUAAUGGCAUUUAUGUAAUAAUAAUAAUAGAAAAAAAUCUUACUCAUAUGUCUGAUGAAGAGUUUCAAAUCUAAUAAACUUGCAAAGGCAGUUAAUUAUAGCUGUGAUCUGCUUUUGCAAACAUAGUAUCCUAUGUUAUUUCAAAUCAGUUACUUUGAGCAGAUUAGCUUAUUUAUUUUGAGAACUCCAAUAAUGAGUGCACAAAUCUAAGGACAGAAUUGAGCUCUCUGGUAGCAAUAGGUGUAUGGAAAUAUUUCCCAAGGGCAAAUAAUUGAUUUAGAGGAGAAUAUGAACACAAAAAUAUGUUUAGUUUAUGUGUGAAUUUUGUUCGUAGUUUUUGCUGUGAGACAGACCAGACAAAUUUUAAUUUUUGUCUUGCACAUUGUUUCUCUGUAUUUGAGUGAUAUGUCUGGUUCUAGGAAAUCUUUCUCUGUAUUCAGUUAUCUUAAGAAUAUGUGCUACUGUAUUUCUGCAGAACUGUAUCUAUGUGUGCACAAUGAGUGGACAUACAUUAUUUAAGCAUUUAAAAACUAUUGGACCUGCAAGUGGUUCCCAAAUCUUAAUACCUGUGAUUCCCAGGUCUAUAUUCACUCACUUUAUCACAUCUUACACUUUCUUAUGCUUUCCUGAGUUACAUACAAAACAGCAAGAAACUUGAGUAAAGACUUUGUUCUGUGUUUGUACAGUGCCUAGCACAGCGGGAUCCCAUUCAUGACUUCAGCCCCUAAAUGCUAAAAUUAUCAGCGGUGCCGCUCUUGUAUUAUCUGUACCCAACGCACCUGGUUUAGUACCAUCUUGGCCAUCCCGUUCUCUUCAUGAAUGUUUCUGAGUGCAUGAAGUUGUGAAGGUUCUUCAUGUAACACAUUUGUGAUGCACCAUUUUGCUGUGUAUUCCAUCUGUACACUGUUAACAUUUCAAUGAAGGUGAUGUUCCAAGCAAAUAGAAAAUAGCAAGGCAUAAAAGACAAAAAAAAAUACAGCUCAUGUACAGCAGUAUAUACAGGAUACAUUUGUCAUCUUUUCUCCAUUUAUGCCAAGUUUUGACAGCCAACUUCAAAAACUAUCCUAUUUAUAAAAAAGAAAAGAAACAAAAAAUACACUUUACCCUCUUUUCUUAAGAACUGUUUUUUGACUCCUUUUCCCUUGAGUCCUCUUUGGAUUUUGCUUUCGUUCUGAUAGGAGUGGUUAGGAUUUCUGCUGGCAGCUCUGUUACUAUAAAACAGAUUUUUAUUAUAUCUUGUAGAUGGACAAAAUCACUGAUAAAUGGGAGAGUGAUAAUAUCUUGGCUUUGUACCAGCUGAAGUCUUCUUAGCUUAUUAGUCUAUGUCAACUGGAAAAAUCUUGUAAUUUGCUGGCUUCAGGAUUAACUGUCAAUAUUCUGGCUGGUCAGCAUUCUUCUUUUUUUCACUGAAGUUUUUACCUUUGCUUUCUUACUAUGCUAAAUGAAAAUUUAUAUUGGAUAAUUAAUCAGAAUUAAAAAUCAUAAGGAACUAAGUGAGAGGCAGGUUUCAUUUAAAAAAAGAUUCUAAAGAGAUCUAAAAAAUAGAUUUUUAUCACUUUUAGAGCGCACUGUAAAGAUAUUAAGGAGUCUUUAAAGCAUUUUACAUUUUUGUUUAAGCUAUAGACCACAUCAGUGGUUAAUAUACUCUAGAAGUAUUAGGCCUUAAAAGCUUAGUAUGAAGAGUUUGUUUACUUUCCAAUGUUGCUGUUGCUUCUCUGGAAAUGUAUUUUAUCUACACCAGUUUUCUAGUAAGGCUGUAGUACCUUUCCACAGAUUUGUUUUUUUUCCCUUUUCGCCCUCCGUCUGCUCUUGGUUUAUGAAAAUCAUCAGUCAGCAUACAAUAUCAAGGACAACAAUCUCUGCAGCAUUACUAGUUUGUUUUGGCUCCUUAUCCCUAGCUGCAAAUGCAGGGAAUGCUCUCAAUGUCGGUUCGGAACACAAACUUUGUGACAGGGACUGUUUUUGCUUCCCUUACAGAGCUGUGAGAGUGCAUCUUUGCAAGGAUUUAGGCUUAUUCCCUUCCAUUUUAAGAGAAAAACGCAGGGAUCAGUUAUUUCUUUUUCAUUUGUUAAUUAUUUUAUUACCAACAGGGCUAACUGUUUUCUGCAGCGCUGUAUAGUGCAUGAUAUCUCAAUGUUCUUUUUAGCAGUGAAAACUUUACAACUCAGCAGCCUGAAGUUUAUAAAAUGGGAAAGCUUCCUAAUUUGUAUAAUUCCACCUUUCUGUGUUGUUACUAAUCGAAAGCAGUUCUUAAACAUUUUGAUGUUGUUGCUAGUGGAUGUAUGGUAGAUGGAUUUAAGCUUCUCUGAUAAUUAUUACAUGAUUUUAAACGUAUAUAUUUAAAAUAAGAAUCUACAAUAAAUGUGUUGAGCCAUA
This is a non-coding RNA of Meleagris gallopavo (turkey), 6597 nucleotides long. NCBI's taxonomy places the organism in Eukaryota, Metazoa, Chordata, Aves, Galliformes, Phasianidae. The record is from RefSeq and is a predicted model, not a curated record.